CAACAAGUAGUUUAAUUGAAAAUAUUAGUUUUGGAGAUUAAUGUUAGACAUAAAUUCGUCUUUUGUUGA
Cimex lectularius (bed bug) is the source of this 69-nucleotide non-coding RNA. The record is from the annotation of a RefSeq genome assembly. NCBI's taxonomy places the organism in Eukaryota, Metazoa, Arthropoda, Insecta, Hemiptera, Cimicidae.